Molecule: ribosomal RNA, 800 nt
Filed under: uncultured Eubacteriales bacterium
Lineage: Bacteria; Bacillati; Bacillota; Clostridia; Eubacteriales
Description: bacterial SSU rRNA
Rfam family: Bacterial small subunit ribosomal RNA
Source: RNAcentral
AGAGUUUGAUCCUGGCUCAGGAUGAACGCUGGCGGCGUGCCUAACACAUGCAAGUCGAGCGUGAUUGUGUGGAUUGAAGCUUCGGCCGAGAGAAACACAUGAAAGCGGCGGACGGGUGAGUAACGCGUGGGCAACCUGCCCCAUACAGCGGAAUAGCCACUGGAAACGGUGAUUAAUGCCGCAUAAGACCACGGCAUCGCAUGGUGAUGUGGUCAAAGAUUUAUCGGUAUGGGAUGGGCCCGCGUCUGAUUAGCUAGUUGGUGAGGUAACGGCUCACCAAGGCGACGAUCAGUAGCCGACCUGAGAGGGCGGACGGCCACACUGGAACUGAGACACGGUCCAGACUCCUACGGGAGGCAGCAGUGGGGAAUAUUGCACAAUGGGCGCAAGCCUGAUGCAGCAACGCCGCGUGAGUGAAGAAGGCCUUCGGGUCGUAAAGCUCUGUCCUGUGGGAAGAAAAAAAUGACGGUACCACAGGAGGAAGCCCCGGCUAACUACGUGCCAGCAGCCGCGGUAAUACGUAGGGGGCAAGCGUUAUCCGGAAUCACUGGGCGUAAAGGGUGCGUAGGCGGUCUGUCAAGUCAGAAGUGAAAGGCAAUGGCUUAACCAUUGUAAGCUUUCGAAACUGACGGACUUGAGUGCAGGAGAGGUAAGUGGAAUUCCUAGUGUAGCGGUGAAAUGCGUAGAUAUUAGGAGGAACACCAGUGGCGAAGGCGACUUACUGGACUGUAACUGACGCUGAGGCACGAAAGCGUGGGGAGCGAACAGGAUUAGAUACCCUGGUAGUCCACGCCGUAAAC